This 253-nucleotide ribosomal RNA is filed under the name uncultured bacterium. RNAcentral's name for it is "partial 16S ribosomal RNA". It matches the Rfam family "Bacterial small subunit ribosomal RNA", at positions 524 to 776 of the family's 1533-position model. The record is from RNAcentral.
UACGUAGGGGGCAAGCGUUGUCCGGAAUCAUUGGGCGUAAAGAGCGUGUAGGCGGCCCGAUAAGUCCGCCGUGAAAGUCCAGGGCUCAACCCUGGGAUGCCGGUGGAAACUGUCGGGCUAGAGUCCGGAAGAGGCGAGUGGAAUUCCUGGUGUAGCGGUGAAAUGCGCAGAUAUCAGGAGGAACACCGGUGGCGAAGGCGGGUCUCUGGGCAGUAACUGACGCUGAGGAGCGAAAGCGUGGGGAGCGAACAGG